UACGUAGGGGGCUAGCGUUGUCCGGAAUCAUUGGGCGUAAAGAGCGUGUAGGCGGCCCGGUAAGUCCGCUGUAAAAAGUCAAAGGCUCAACCUUUGAAUGUCAGUGGAUACUGCCGGGCUAGAGUCCGGAAGAGGCGAGUGGAACUCCUGGUGUAGCGGUGGAAUGCGCAGAUAUCAGGAAGAACACCAACGGCGAAGGCAGCUCGCUGGGACGGUACUGACGCUGAGACGCGAAAGCGUGGGGAGCGAACAGG
RNAcentral lists this ribosomal RNA (254 nucleotides) under uncultured bacterium. RNAcentral's name for it is "partial 16S ribosomal RNA". It matches the Rfam family "Bacterial small subunit ribosomal RNA", at positions 524 to 776 of the family's 1533-position model. The record is from RNAcentral.